GAUGAACGCUGGCGGCGUGCCUAAUACAUGCAAGUCGAGCGAACAGACGAGGAGCUUGCUCCUCUGACGUUAGCGGCGGACGGGUGAGUAACACGUGGAUAACCUACCUAUAAGACUGGGAUAACUUCGGGAAACCGGAGCUAAUACCGGAUAAUAUAUUGAACCGCAUGGUUCAAUAGUGAAAGACGGUUUUGCUGUCACUUAUAGAUGGAUCCGCGCCGCAUUAGCUAGUUGGUAAGGUAACGGCUUACCACGGCAACGAUGCGUAGCCGACCUGAGAGGGGGAUAGGCGACACUGGAACUGAGACACGGUCCAGACUACUACGAGAGGCAGCAGAAGGGAAUCUUCCGCAAUGGGGGAAAGCCUGACGGAGCAACGCCACGUGAGUGAUGAAGGUCUUCGGAUCGUAAAACUCUGUUAUUAGGGAAGAACAAAUGUGUAAGUAACUAUGCACGUAUUGACGGUACCUAAUCAGAAAGCCACGGCUAACUACGUG
This 497-nucleotide ribosomal RNA is filed under the name uncultured bacterium. Its description in RNAcentral is "partial 16S ribosomal RNA". It matches the Rfam family "Bacterial small subunit ribosomal RNA", at positions 28 to 507 of the family's 1533-position model. The record is from RNAcentral.